Molecule: ribosomal RNA, 253 nt
Filed under: uncultured bacterium
Lineage: Bacteria
Description: partial 16S ribosomal RNA
Rfam family: Bacterial small subunit ribosomal RNA
Source: RNAcentral
UACGUAGGGUGCGAGCGUUGUCCGGAAUUAUUGGGCGUAAAGGGCUCGUAGGCGGUUUGUCGCGUCGGGAGUGAAAACCCAGGGCUUAACCCUGGGCUGGCUUCCGAUACGGGCAGACUAGAGGUAUGCAGGGGAGAACGGAAUUCCUGGUGUAGCGGUGAAAUGCGCAGAUAUCAGGAGGAACACCGGUGGCGAAGGCGGCAUCCUGGACCAAUAUUGACGCUGAGGAGCGAAAGCCAGGGGAGCAAACGGG